CGUUAUCGGAUUCUGGGCGUAAGCGCGCGUAGGCGGCUUGAUAAGCCGGUUGUGAAAGCCCCGGGCUCAACCUGGGAACGGCAUCCGGAACUGUCAGGCUAGAGUGCAGGAGAGGAAGGUAGAAUUCCCGGUGUAGCGGUGAAAUGCGUAGAGAUCGGGAGGAAUACCAGUGGCGAAGGCGGCCUUCUGGACUGACACUGACGCUGAGGUGCGAAAGCGUGGGUAGCAAACAGGAUUAGAUACCCUGGUAGUCCACGCCGUAAACGAUGUCGACUAGCCGUUGGGGUCCUCGAGACCUUUGUGGCGCAGUUAACGCGAUAAGUCGACCGCCUGGGGAGUACGGCCGCAAGGUUAAAACUCAAAUGAAUUGACGGGGGCCCGCACAAGCGGUGGAGCAUGUGGUUUAAUUCGAUGCAACGCGAAGAACCUUACCUACCCUUGACAUCGAGCGAACUUUCCAGAGAUGGAUUGGUGCCUUCGGGAACGCUCAGACAGGUGCUGCAUGGCUGUCGUCAGCUCGUGUUGUGAAAUGUUGGGUUAAGUCCCGUAACGAGCGCAACCCUUGUCCCUAUUUGCCAGCGAUUCGGUCGGGAACUCUAGGGAGACUGCCGGUGACAAACCGGAGGAAGGUGGGGACGACGUCAAGUCAUCAUGGCCCUUACGGGUAGGGCUACACACGUGCUACAAUGGCCCGGUACAGAGGGUGGCAAUACCGCGAGGUGGAGCUAAUCUCAAAAAGCCCGGUCUCAGUCCGGAUCGGAAGUCUGCCACCUCGACUCGUGAGUCGAUCGCUAGUAUCGUGAAUCAGAAUGUCACGGUGAAAUACGUUUCCCGGG
Molecule: ribosomal RNA, 836 nt
Filed under: Halomonas sp. APP10
Lineage: Bacteria; Pseudomonadati; Pseudomonadota; Gammaproteobacteria; Oceanospirillales; Halomonadaceae
Description: bacterial SSU rRNA
Rfam family: Bacterial small subunit ribosomal RNA
Source: RNAcentral